Molecule: ribosomal RNA, 842 nt
Filed under: Penicillium formosanum
Lineage: Eukaryota; Fungi; Ascomycota; Eurotiomycetes; Eurotiales; Aspergillaceae
Description: partial large subunit ribosomal RNA
Rfam family: Eukaryotic large subunit ribosomal RNA
Source: RNAcentral
AUUGCCCCAGUAACGGCGAGUGAAGCGGCAAGAGCUCAAAUUUGAAAGCUGGCUCCUUCGGGGUCCGCAUUGUAAUUUGCAGAGGAUGCUUCGGGAGCGGUCCCCAUCUAAGUGCCCUGGAACGGGACGUCAUAGAGGGUGAGAAUCCCGUAUGGGAUGGGGUGUCCGCGCCCGUGUGAAGCUCCUUCGACGAGUCGAGUUGUUUGGGAAUGCAGCUCUAAAUGGGUGGUAAAUUUCAUCUAAAGCUAAAUAUUGGCCGGAGACCGAUAGCGCACAAGUAGAGUGAUCGAAAGAUGAAAAGCACUUUGAAAAGAGAGUUAAAAAGCACGUGAAAUUGUUGAAAGGGAAGCGCUUGCGAUCAGACUCGCUCGCGGGGUUCAGCCGGCAUUCGUGCCGGUGUACUUCCCCGCGAGCGGGCCAGCGUCGGUUUGGGCGGUCGGUCAAAGGCCCUCGGAAGGUAACGCCCCCAGGGGCGUCUUAUAGCCGAGGGUGCAAUGCGACCUGCCUAGACCGAGGAACGCGCUUCGGCUCGGACGCUGGCAUAAUGGUCGUAAGCGACCCGUCUUGAAACACGGACCAAGGAGUCUAACAUCUACGCGAGUGUUCGGGUGUCAAACCCGUGCGCGAAGUGAAAGCGAACGGAGGUGGGAACCCUUACGGGUGCACCAUCGACCGAUCCUGAAGUCUUCGGAUGGAUUUGAGUAAGAGCGUAGCUGUUGGGACCCGAAAGAUGGUGAACUAUGCCUGAAUAGGGCGAAGCCAGAGGAAACUCUGGUGGAGGCUCGUAGCGGUUCUGACGUGCAAAUCGAUCGUCGAAUUUGGGUAUAGGGCGAAAGACUAAU